CUGAGCCAGGAUCAAACUCUACCGUACUUGUGUUUGAUCACGGCCCUGAGAUGUGAUGCCGAGCCCUUAUGGGUGAAGUGGGUAAUCCUAUGCUGUCGAGAAAAACCUCUAGCGAGCUACGCGCCGCCCGUACCCCAAACCGACUCAGGUGAUCAGGUAGAGAAUACUAAGGCGAUCGAGAGAACCAUGGUUAAGGAACUCGGCAAAAUGCCCCCGUAACUUCGGGAGAAGGGGGGCCGGAUACGUGAACCCACUUGCUGGGGGAAGCGUUGAAGGCCGCAGAGACCAGGCCCAAGCGACUGUUUACUAAAAACACAGGUCCGUGCGAAGUUGUAAGACGAUGUAUACGGACUGACUCCUGCCCGGUGCUGGAAGGUUAAGGGGACCGGUAAGACACUUCUGUGUCGAAGCUGAGAACUUAAGCCCCAGUAAACGGCGGUGGUAACUAUAACCAUCCUAAGGUAGCGAAAUUCCUUGUCGGGUAAGUUCCGACCUGCACGAAUGGAGUAACGACUUGGGCGCUGUCUCAACCAUGGACUCGGCGAAAUUGCAGUACGAGUAAAGAUGCUCGUUACGCGCGGCAGGACGGAAAGACCCCGGGACCUUUACUAUAGUUUGGUAUUGGUGUUUGGUUCGGCUUGUGUAGGAUAGGUGGGAGACUGUGAAGCAUUCACGCCAGUGAGUGUGGAGUCAACGUUGAAAUACCACUCUGGUCGUACUAGAUGUCUAACCUAGGACCAUUAUCUGGUUCAGGGACAGUGCCUGAUGGGUAGUUUAACUGGGGCGGUUGCCUCCUAAAAUGUAACGGAGGCGCUCAAAGGUUCCCUCAGCCUGGUUGGCAAUCAGGUGUUGAGUGUAAGUGCACAAGGGAGCUUGACUGUGAGACAGACAUGUCGAGCAGGGACGAAAGUCGGAACUAGUGAUCCGGCGUCGGCAUGUGGAAGCGACGUCGCUCAACGGAUAAAAGGUACCCCGGGGAUAACAGGCUGAUCUUCCCCAAGAGUCCAUAUCGACGGGAUGGUUUGGCACCUCGAUGUCGGCUCGUCGCAUCCUGGGGCUGGAGUAGGUCCCAAGGGUUGGGCUGUUCGCCCAUUAAAGCGGCACGCGAGCUGGGUUUAGAACGUCGUGAGACAGUUCGGUCCCUAUCCGCCGCGCGCGCAGGAAACUUGAGAAAGGCUGUCCCUAGUACGAGAGGACCGGGAGGACGAACCUCUGGUGUGCCAGUUGUCCCGCCAGGGGCACGGCUGGUUGGCUACGUUCGGAAGUGAUAACCGCUGAAUGCAUCUAAGCGGGAAGCACGUUUCAAGAUGAGGUUUCCCACCGGGUAACCGGGUAAGGCCCCCAGCAGAACACUGGGUUGAUAGGCCGGAGGUGUACAGCAGCAAUGCCUAGCUGACCGGUACUAAUAGGCCGAGGGCUUGUCUC
RNAcentral lists this ribosomal RNA (1425 nucleotides) under metagenome. RNAcentral's name for it is "bacterial LSU rRNA". It matches the Rfam family "Bacterial large subunit ribosomal RNA", at positions 1516 to 2925 of the family's 2925-position model. The record is from RNAcentral.